GCUGUGACUCAAUGGUAGAAUAUCUGCUCGGCAUGCAGAAGGUCCCAAAUUCAGAUCCUGGCAUCUGCA
RNAcentral lists this transfer RNA (69 nucleotides) under Sphaerodactylus townsendi. RNAcentral describes it as "tRNA-Ala". Lineage: Eukaryota; Metazoa; Chordata; Lepidosauria; Squamata; Sphaerodactylidae. The record is from RNAcentral.